Capsicum annuum is the source of this 1454-nucleotide long non-coding RNA. RefSeq lists it as uncharacterized. NCBI's taxonomy places the organism in Eukaryota, Viridiplantae, Streptophyta, Magnoliopsida, Solanales, Solanaceae. The transcript has 2 exons. The record is from RefSeq and is a predicted model, not a curated record.
AAAAUAUAAAAAUAACAAAAAUUCAAAAAAUUCCUAAUUUUAUCCUAACAAACUUUAUUCUAAUCCUAACAACCUUACCACCCCACCCUCUACCUAUCUACCAUACCCCUACCCCACGUGACCCCUCCUUUUUCUUGGCCAAAAGAAAUAUACACAGGGGGGAUCCCACAUUAAGAGGGAAUUCCAUUUUCUUGGUUUUCGGCUCCUAGACUCCAUUCUUUUUUCCUUUUCUUGCUCCAAGAGCACACCUCACAGCAUAUAUACACGCACAAUAUCCACGGCAAAAGAGACAUAAUCACCCACUCAUAAUUGACGGGAUUCUUCCCUUUUCUUCUUGCCAAUACCAUACACAAAAUCACUGGCAAGAAACACUCAUACACGCACAUGAUACACAUAGCCACAUAGUGAGAGACGGCGAGAGAGGGAGAGAUCCGCGAUUGAAAUUGAGGGAGAAGAGAGUGGCGGUUACUGUUCUGGCGACAAUCUCGUUGGAAACGCGCCAAAGCCAUUACAAAUCUGGUCAAAGCCAUCGAAAAACAUCACUAGCCCCGGUUUACGACCAAAACAGCAUCGGCUCGACCCCAUAAUCAGACAAAAUCGACCAAGUUUGAUCCAUUUCAGUCCGAUUUCGGUGAAGUUCGUUGGAAAACGGUUGAAACUGUGACUGGUAUGCGAAUUCCGUUCUUCGAUACCGAGCUUGGAUUUCAUAGCUGUUGAGGUUUUCCUAUUCGGGGUCUCGGAUUCGGGUUCCUUUAAUUCUAUAUUAUCUACGAAAUCGAUUCUUUGAAGGUCCAUCUCUUAACUUUGCUCUUUCAUUUUCUCGAAUUUUGGUUAAUGUUGUGAUUUUAUGGUGUGGUUUUGAAUACUUUGAGCAAAAAUAUUGAUUGUUGUUGUGGAUGACUCGUGUGCUUAGUUUGAAUCUUCGUUGGGUGUAUGUAUUGGAUGUUGGUUUCGGAUUUUGAAAAGUGUUGGAUGUUGUGUUAAUCAUUGGUUGAGAAUGAAUCGGGACGGGGAUCGAAAAUUGGUAAAAAGUGAAUAUUAUGGUAUUUUGAUUUAUGAUUGAUGUUGAAUGUGAUAUGUCGUCGAGCGGGCAGACAAACAUUAGGCCGAGUAGGUAAAUUUAGAAUGGGGGGAUUAUUGGAAUGUUUGAAAUAUUUGUUGAAUGUCUUGUUUGCCGCAUUUGAAAAGUGUAUUUAUUUGGCCGGGGAAUGCCUCGAGGUAUUUGUAUUUAUUCACCGGGAAAUGUCCCGACGUACUAUGUUGGCGGAAGAUGAUCGAGAUGAAGGCCCGAGGCAUCGGGUGAAGCAUUGGACCUUAGUCUAGGACUAGCUUAGAAUAGGAUUUAUAUUUUUCGCAUUUUUCUAUUUUUGGAUUGUAAUAAUUGGACUGAACACUAUAAUUUUGGAUUUGUUUGUUUGUUUGAUUGGUUUGUAUGUUUUUGUGUGGUUUAUACA